UGGCGUCGUCGUCAGCUCGUGUCGUGAGAUGUUGGGUUAAGUCCCGCAACGAGCGCAACCCUCGCCUUUAGUUGCCAUCAUUCAGUUGGGCACUCUAAAGGGACUGCCGGUGAUAAGCCGCGAGGAAGGUGGGGAUGACGUCAAGUCCUCAUGGCCCUUACGGGCUGGGCUACACACGUGCUACAAUGGCGGUGACAGUGGGAUGCAAAGGGGCGACCCCUCGCAAAUCUCAAAAAGCCGUCUCAGUUCGGAUUGUACUCUGCAACUCGAGUGCAUGAAGUUGGAAUCGCUAGUAAUCGUGGAUCAGCAUGCCACGGUGAAUACGUUCCCGGGCCUU
Molecule: ribosomal RNA, 337 nt
Filed under: uncultured Xanthobacter sp.
Lineage: Bacteria; Pseudomonadati; Pseudomonadota; Alphaproteobacteria; Hyphomicrobiales; Xanthobacteraceae
Description: bacterial SSU rRNA
Rfam family: Bacterial small subunit ribosomal RNA
Source: RNAcentral